AUCGCUUCUCGGCCUUUUGGCUAAGAACAAGUGUAGUUUUUCCUUUGGGGAACUUGUUUUCAUCACUCUUUUUGUUCGGCAAGUAUUGUUCUCUUUCUUUCCUUUCUCCAUAAGGUUUGUAUAACUUCUCCCUCCUAAUAUUUUCACUACCAAAUGGUAGGUGAGAAAAGUU
Ailuropoda melanoleuca (giant panda) is the source of this 172-nucleotide small nuclear RNA. Its record names the gene U2. It matches the Rfam family "U2 spliceosomal RNA". Rfam says of the family: U2 is a small nuclear RNA (snRNA) component of the spliceosome (involved in pre-mRNA splicing). Complementary binding between U2 snRNA (in an area lying towards the 5' end but 3' to hairpin I) and the branchpoint sequence (BPS) of the intron results the bulging out of an unpaired adenosine, on the BPS, which initiates a nucleophilic attack at the intronic 5' splice site, thus starting the first of two transesterification reactions that mediate splicing. Lineage: Eukaryota; Metazoa; Chordata; Mammalia; Carnivora; Ursidae. The record is from Ensembl.